Molecule: ribosomal RNA, 253 nt
Filed under: uncultured bacterium
Lineage: Bacteria
Description: partial 16S ribosomal RNA
Rfam family: Bacterial small subunit ribosomal RNA
Source: RNAcentral
UACAGAGGUGGCAAGCGUUGUUCGGAAUUACUGGGCGUAAAGGGCGCGUAGGCGGCCCUCUUAGUCGGACGUGAAAUCCCCAGGCUUAACUUGGGAACUGCGUCCGAUACUGGAGGGCUUGAGUGCGGGAGAGGGAUGUGGAAUUCCAGGUGUAGCGGUGAAAUGCGCAGAUAUCAGGAAGAACACCCGUGGCGAAAGCGGCUCUCUGGAACGGUACUGACGCUGAGACGCGAAAGCGUGGGGAGCGAACAGG